Molecule: ribosomal RNA, 602 nt
Filed under: uncultured bacterium
Lineage: Bacteria
Description: bacterial SSU rRNA
Rfam family: Bacterial small subunit ribosomal RNA
Source: RNAcentral
AGAGUUUGAUCCUGGCUCAGAUUGAACGCUGGCGGCAUGCCUUACACAUGCAAGUCGAACGGCAGCACGGGAGCAAUCCUGGUGGCGAGUGGCGAACGGGUGAGUAAUAUAUCGGAACGUGCCCAGUCGUGGGGGAUAACGUAGCGAAAGCUACGCUAAUACCGCAUACGAUCUAUGGAUGAAAGCGGGGGAUCGCAAGACCUCGCGCGAUUGGAGCGGCCGAUAUCAGAUUAGGUAGUUGGUGGGGUAAAGGCUCACCAAGCCGACGAUCUGUAGCUGGUCUGAGAGGACGACCAGCCACACUGGGACUGAGACACGGCCCAGACUCCUACGGGAGGCAGCAGUGGGGAAUUUUGGACAAUGGGCGCAAGCCUGAUCCAGCAAUGCCGCGUGCAGGAUGAAGGCCUUCGGGUUGUAAACUGCUUUUGUACGGAGCGAAAAGGCUUCCACUAAUACUGGGGGCUCAUGACGGUACCGUAAGAAUAAGCACCGGCUAACUACGUGCCAGCAGCCGCGGUAAUACGUAGGGUGCGAGCGUUAAUCGGAAUUACUGGGCGUAAAGCGUGCGCAGGCGGUUAUGUAAGACAGAUGUGAAAUCCCCG